This 135-nucleotide small nucleolar RNA is filed under the name Nicotiana sylvestris (wood tobacco). RNAcentral describes it as "Small nucleolar RNA snoR74". It matches the Rfam family "Small nucleolar RNA snoR74". Lineage: Eukaryota; Viridiplantae; Streptophyta; Magnoliopsida; Solanales; Solanaceae. The record is from Rfam by way of RNAcentral. RNAcentral also lists the same sequence under 1 other name.
GAGAAAUGGGGCCUAUUGCUAUUCUAUAUGUGGGUUUCUUGUAAUAUUCAGGACAUAAAUUUGCAUUGUUUUGGGUGAACCAGUCGACCUAUUUGGCUAUUCGUGAUAUAGUUUUUCAGUAAAUGAUGCACAUUU